This 130-nucleotide small nucleolar RNA is filed under the name Nannospalax galili (Upper Galilee mountains blind mole rat). Its description in RNAcentral is "Small nucleolar RNA SNORA31 (ENSNGAG00000004335.1)". Lineage: Eukaryota; Metazoa; Chordata; Mammalia; Rodentia; Spalacidae. The record is from RNAcentral.
GUGCAUCUAUUUGACAGACCCGAAGUAGUUACUGUCUGCGUCUACGGUUUCCAUUACAGAUGCAAGUAGAAAGUUUCCUUGUACUUUCUGUCUGAUUGUGGCAGCCAAGACUGAGUAAGGGGGGGGAGAC